GCCAGCCGCCGCGGGAACACCGGCGGCCCGAGUGGUGAUCGUGAUUAUUGGGUCUAAGGGUCCGUAGCCGGUUGGUCAGUCCUCCGGGAAAUCUGAUAGCUCAACUAUUAGGCUUUCGGGGGAUACUGCCAGACUUGGAACCGGGAGAGGUAAGAGGUACUACAGGGGUAGGAGUGAAAUCUUGUAAUCCCUGUGGGACCACCUGUGGCGAAGGCGUCUUACCAGAACGGGUUCGACGGUGAGGGACGAAAGCUGGGGGCACGAACCGGAUUAGAUACCCGGGUAGUCCCAGCCGUAAACGAUGCUCGCUAGGUGUCAGGCAUGGCGCGACCGUGUCUGGUGCCGCAGGGAAGCCGUGAAGCGAGCCACCUGGGAAGUACGGCCGCAAGGCUGAAACUUAAAGGAAUUGGCGGGGGAGCACAACAACGGGUGGAGCCCUGCGGUUUAAUUGGACUCAACGCCGGACAACUCACCGGGGGCGACAGCAAUAUGUAGGCCAAGCUGAAGACUUUGCCUGAAUCGCUGAGAGGUGGUGCAUGG
RNAcentral lists this ribosomal RNA (540 nucleotides) under uncultured archaeon. RNAcentral describes it as "bacterial SSU rRNA". It matches the Rfam family "Archaeal small subunit ribosomal RNA", at positions 457 to 997 of the family's 1478-position model. The record is from RNAcentral.